UACGGAGGGUGCAAGCGUUAUCCGGAAUCACUGGGUUUAAAGGGUGCGUAGGCGGCUUAAUAAGUCAGAGGUGAAAGACUACAGCUUAACUGUGGCACUGCCUUUGAUACUGUUGAGCUGGAAUCAGGUUGAAGUUAGUGGAAUGCGGCAUGUAGCGGUGAAAUGCAUAGAUAUGUCGUAGAACACCGAUUGCGAAGGCAGCUAACUGGGCUUGAAUUGACGCUGAGGCACGAAAGCGUGGGGAUCGAACAGGAUUAGAUACCCUGGUAGUCCACGCCCUAAACGAUGCUAACUCGAUGUAUGGUUGUAAGAUUGUGCGUCUAAGGGAAACCGUUAAGUUAGCCACCUGGGGAGUACGUUCGCAAGAAUGAA
RNAcentral lists this ribosomal RNA (372 nucleotides) under uncultured bacterium. RNAcentral describes it as "bacterial SSU rRNA". It matches the Rfam family "Bacterial small subunit ribosomal RNA", at positions 524 to 898 of the family's 1533-position model. The record is from RNAcentral.